AAAAAUUAGCUGGGCAUGGUGGCGCGUGCCUGUAAUCCCAGCUACUCAGGAGGCUGAGGCAGGAGAAUUGCCUGAACCCAGGAGGAAGAGGUUGCAGCAAACUGAGAUCCGGGCACUGCACUCCAGCCUGGGUGACAGAGGGAGACACCAUCUCAAAAAAAAAAACAAAAACAAAAAA
Long non-coding RNA from Sapajus apella (tufted capuchin), 178 nucleotides. RefSeq lists it as uncharacterized. The transcript has 2 exons. NCBI's taxonomy places the organism in Eukaryota, Metazoa, Chordata, Mammalia, Primates, Cebidae. The record is from RefSeq and is a predicted model, not a curated record.